AAGGUUGCCGCGCCCAUAAGAGGGCGUACAGUGCACGCCUCCCGGGGGGGGCACACAAACACACACCUGUGCACCUAGCGGGACGCCUCCCAUCGAGAGCAGCUUGGCCAACCCGAAAGGGGGAAACCGGGCCGGGGCGUCCCCUCUUUUUGUUACAUCCCGUCGAACGCAUGUCUUACGGGGCUCUACGGAGCCAGAAGUUUUAAUACAACUUUCAACAACGGAUCUCUUGGCUUUCGCAUCGAUGAAGAACGCCGCGAAAGUGCGAAACGUAAUGUGAAUUGCAGAAUUCAGUGAAUCAUCGAAUCUUUGAACGCACCUUGCGCUCCUUGGCAUUCCGAGGAGCAUGCCUGUUUGAGUGUCGUGAAACACCUUCGAACCCCCCCCUCGGCCUUUCCCCGAGGGGGGUACGGAUUUGGACGUCUGCGGCCCCAGAGGCCGCUCGUCUCCAAACGCAUUCAGCUGGUCCCCAUCGAGUCGGUCCAACGAACGGUGUGAUAAAUAAACGCUUCGUUUGACUGUGGCGCCGCACGGGCCCGACUCCGUUCCCUUGGCUUUUGGCCAAGGGAACGCACGUGGGUGGCCGCUCACAGCCGUCCGCUUCUGUCGGACAAAUCGCGACGAUCUGACCUCAAAUCAGGUAGGAUUACCCGCCGAACUUAAGCAUAUCAAUAAGCGGAGGAAAAGAAACUAACAAGGAUUCCCCUAGUAACGGCGAGUGAAGCGGGAAGAGCUCAAAUUUGUAAUCUGGCGGC
This 755-nucleotide ribosomal RNA is filed under the name Ramaria spinulosa var. diminutiva. Its description in RNAcentral is "eukaryotic LSU rRNA". The stretch from base 210 to 364 matches the Rfam family "5.8S ribosomal RNA". Lineage: Eukaryota; Fungi; Basidiomycota; Agaricomycetes; Gomphales; Gomphaceae. The record is from RNAcentral.